Molecule: ribosomal RNA, 253 nt
Filed under: uncultured bacterium
Lineage: Bacteria
Description: partial 16S ribosomal RNA
Rfam family: Bacterial small subunit ribosomal RNA
Source: RNAcentral
UACAGAGGUCCCAAGCGUUGUUCGGAUUCGUUGGGCGUAAAGGGUGCGUAGGUGGCGUCGUAAGUCGGGUGUGAAAUUUCGGAGCUCAACUCCGAAACUGCAUUCGAUACUGCGGUGCUUGAGGACUGGAGAGGAGACUGGAAUUUACGGUGUAGCAGUGAAAUGCGUAGAGAUCGUAAGGAAGACCAGUGGCGAAGGCGGGUCUCUGGACAGUUCCUGACACUGAGGCACGAAGGCCAGGGGAGCAAACGGG